AGCUGAACUCGGCGCCUGGAAAGAUGGAGGCAGCGGAGACAGAGGCGGAAGCUGCAGCCCUAGAGGUCCUGGCUGAGGUGGCAGGCAUCUUGGAACCUGUAGGCCUGCAGGAGGAGGCAGAACUGCCAGCCAAGAUCCUGGUUGAGUUUGUGGUGGUAUGUACAAGAUGAGAGCGAGCCUUUCAGAAGCCAGGGUCUGGUCCUGGCUCCUCUUACUGAGAUACAGGGCAGCACUGGCAGAGAGCAGACUUAAGGAAACCUGUAAGGAGGUAAGGAUGUUCCCUGUCUCUGCCCUCCCUCUGAGCAGGACUCUCAGAAGAAAGACAAGCUGCUCUGCAGCCAGCUUCAGGUAGCGGAUUUCCUGCAGAACAUCCUGGCUCAGGAGGACACUGCUAAGGGUCUCGACCCCUUGGCUUCUGAAGACACGAGCCGUGAGUAGGCAGGGGAUUGUAGUAGCAGCUGACCUGAGUGGGGAAGGAAGGAGGAUUUCAGUUAGGUCUCCCAUUUGGCUGAUGGGAAGGAGGCCCAGUGUUGCAGGGAGGCAGGCUAGCAGGCCACCCUCACUCAUGUACUCAUUCCUGGUGGCUCAUCUCAGGACAGAAGGCAAUUGCAGCUAAGGAACAAUGGAAAGAGCUGAAGGCCACCUACAGGGAGCACGUAGAGGCCAUCAAAAUUGGCCUCACCAAGGCCCUGACUCAGAUGGAGGAAGCCCAGAGGAAACGGACACAACUCCGGGAAGCCUUUGAGCAGCUCCAGGCCAAGAAACAAAUGGCCAUGGAGAAACGCAGAGCAGUCCAGAACCAGUGGCAGCUACAACAGGAGAAGCAUCUGCAGCAUCUGGCGGAGGUUUCUGCAGAGGUGAGGGAGCGUAAGACAGGGACUCAGCAGGAGCUUGACAGGGUGUUUCAGAAACUUGGAAACCUGAAGCAGCAGGCAGAACAGGAGCGGGACAAGCUGCAGAGGUAUCAGACCUUCCUCCAGCUUCUGUAUACCCUGCAGGGUAAGCUGUUGUUCCCUGAGGCUGAGGCUGAGGCAGAGAAUCUUCCAGAUGAUAAACCCCAGCAGCCGACUCGACCCCAGGAGCAGAGUACAGGAGACACCAUGGGGAGAGACCCUGGUGUGUCCUUCAAGGCUGUUGGUCUACAACCUGCUGGAGAUGUAAAUUUGCCAUGACUUCCUGGAGGACAGCAGCAUGGAGAAAGAUCCUAGAAAAGGCCUCUGACUUCCCUCACCUCCCAACCAUCAUUACAGGAAAGACUGUGAACUCCUGAGUUCAGCUUGAUUUCUGACUACAUCCCAGCAAGCUCUGGCAUCUGUGGAUUAAAAUCCCUGGAUCUCUCUCAGUUGUGUAUUUGUUCAUCUUCAUAUGCUGGCAGGAACAACUAUUAAUACAGAUACUCAGAAGCCAAUAACAUGACAGGAGCUGGGACUGGUUUGAACACAGGGUGUGCAGAUGGGGAGGGGGUACUGGCCUUGGGCCUCCUAUGAUGCAGACAUGGUGAAUUUAAUUCAAGGAGGAGGAGAAUGUUUUAGGCAGGUGGUUAUAUGUGGGAAGAUAAUUUUAUUCAUGGAUCCAAAUGUUUGUUGAGUCCUUUCUUUGUGCUAAGGUUCUUGCGGUGAACCAGAAUUAUAACAGUGAGCUCAUCUGACUGUUUUAGGAUGUACAGCCUAGUGUUAACAUUCUUGGUAUCUUUUUGUGCCUUAUCUAAAACAUUUCUCGAUCACUGGUUUCAGAUGUUCAUUUAUUAUAUUCUUUUCAAAGAUUCAGAGAUUGGCUUUUGUCAUCCACUAUUGUAUGUUUUGUUUCAUUGACCUCUAGUGAUACCUUGAUCUUUCCCACUUUCUGUUUUCGGAUUGGAGAAGAUGUACCUUUUUUGUCAACUCUUACUUUUAUCAGAUGAUCAACUCACGUAUUUGGAUCUUUAUUUGUUUUCUCAAAUAAAUAUUUAAGGUUAUACAUUU
This 1961-nucleotide long non-coding RNA is filed under the name Homo sapiens (human). Its description in RNAcentral is "non-protein coding lnc-PCDH15-2:1". The record is from RNAcentral. Lineage: Eukaryota; Metazoa; Chordata; Mammalia; Primates; Hominidae.